AGUCGAACGAGAGAUGAGGAGCUUGCUCUUCAAAUCGAGUGGCGAACGGGUGAGUAACGCGUGAGGAACCUGCCUCAAAGAGGGGGACAACAGUUGGAAACGACUGCUAAUACCGCAUAAGCCCACGGCUCGGCAUCGAGCAGAGGGAAAAGGAGCAAUCCGCUUUGAGAUGGCCUCGCGUCCGAUUAGCUAGUUGGUGAGGUAACGGCCCACCAAGGCGACGAUCGGUAGCCGGACUGAGAGGUUGAACGGCCACAUUGGGACUGAGACACGGCCCAGACUCCUACGGGAGGCAGCAGUGGGGAAUAUUGCACAAUGUGGGAAACCCUGAUGCAGCGACGCCGCGUGGAGGAAGAAGGUCUUCGGAUUGUAAACUCCUGUUGUUGAGGAAGAUAAUGACGGUACUCAACAAGGAAGUGACGGCUAACUACGUGCCAGCAGCCGCGGUAAAACGUAGGUCACAAGCGUUGUCCGGAAUUACUGGGUGUAAAGGGAGCGCAGGCGGGAGAACAAGUUGGAAGUGAAAUCCAUGGGCUCAACCCAUGAACUGCUUUCAAAACUGUUUUUCUUGAGUAGUGCAGAGGUAGGCGGAAUUCCCGGUGUAGCGGUGGAAUGCGUAGAUAUCGGGAGGAACACCAGUGGCGAAGGCGGCCUACUGGGCACCAACUGACGCUGAGGCUCGAAAGUGUGGGUAGCAAACAGGAUUAGAUACCCUGGUAGUCCACACCGUAAACGAUGAUUACUAGGUGUUGGAGGAUUGACCCCUUCAGUGCCGCAGUUAACACAAUAAGUAAUCCACCUGGGGAGUACGACCGCAAGGUUGAAACUCA
RNAcentral lists this ribosomal RNA (830 nucleotides) under uncultured bacterium. RNAcentral's name for it is "bacterial SSU rRNA". It matches the Rfam family "Bacterial small subunit ribosomal RNA", at positions 60 to 903 of the family's 1533-position model. The record is from RNAcentral.